This 305-nucleotide ribosomal RNA is filed under the name uncultured bacterium. RNAcentral describes it as "bacterial SSU rRNA". It matches the Rfam family "Bacterial small subunit ribosomal RNA", at positions 334 to 637 of the family's 1533-position model. The record is from RNAcentral.
UACUCCUACGGGGCGCAGCAGUGAGGAAUAUUGGUCAAUGGUCGGGAGACUGAACCAGCCAAGCCGCGUGAGGGAUGAAGGUACAGAGUAUCGUAAACCUCUUUUGUCAGGGAACAAAGGCGGGGACGCGUCCCCGGAUGAGUGUAACUGAAGAAAAAGCAUAGGCUAACUCCGUGCCAGCAGCCGCGGUAAUACGGAGGAUGCGGGCGUUAUCCGGAUUUAUUGGGUUUAGAGGGUGCGCAGGCGGUCUGUUAAGUCAGCGGUCAAAGCCCGGGGCGCAACCCCGGGCCGCCGUUGAAACUGGG